ACAAGGUAUCGUCGAAGUUGUUGACGAUGGCCAAAAUGUUGCUGGUCAGCUCGGAGGAGCUGUUGAGCAUCUUCCGCAUGGACUCUCCAGCGUUGGUGGUGGUGCCCUCGAAGCCAUCGACGCACGUCUCCUGGUAGGUGAUGGUGGCGCUGAGCCAUAUCUUGAGGUCGUCGAGGAACUUAUCGAGGUUGGCGACGGAGAAGUCGCCGAGCCGGUCAACCGACCGUCUGAGGUCAUCGAUGGCAUAGUCGAGAAGCUCACGGCAAUUCUCGAGGGCCUCCGAGGUGCUGGGGUCCUUGGCAGCCUCCGACAGCACCGUGGAGUGAUCGAUGGCGUCGUUGAUGUGUUUGACGGUGAUGUUGAAGGCCAAAUUGAGGAGCUCCUUGGGGUCGGCGUCGGG
Molecule: long non-coding RNA, 400 nt
Filed under: Musa acuminata (dwarf banana)
Lineage: Eukaryota; Viridiplantae; Streptophyta; Magnoliopsida; Zingiberales; Musaceae
Description: long non-coding RNA (MACU_LNC000610)
Source: RNAcentral